UAAUUUUCAUUUGCUGUCCAAUGCUUCCUCUUUACAGGCCUCUUCAUUUUCUUCAAAUUGAUAAAAGCCUGUACCAUCAACCUGAGGCAUGAUUCCAUUUCUGCUAGACUUAGCUUACUCCACUUUCACGUCAACAAAAUCAGGUUCCUUCAUUUCUCUUGAAGAAAACUUGGGAAAUUAGGUCUUGAUCAGCUUCAAAAGCUGAUCCAGUAUUAAAAAGGUUUGUUCUUCUCUGGUAAGGCUGAUGGUAUGAUUUUAAUCUGAAAUGGGAUUCGCUUAGGUAUCUCCUGAUCAUAGGGCUUGAGAAUUGUCGAUUCCAAGUGAAUUCGGACUGGCAUGGUUGUUGUUUUGACAAAUUGUGGACUAGAUUUAGGUAGAUAGACGAAGUAUUAAUUCGUCUCAAGAACACUUACUGGACCACUACCACACUUACUAGACGAAG
RNAcentral lists this long non-coding RNA (442 nucleotides) under Olea europaea subsp. europaea. The record is from RNAcentral. Lineage: Eukaryota; Viridiplantae; Streptophyta; Magnoliopsida; Lamiales; Oleaceae.